This 403-nucleotide ribosomal RNA is filed under the name uncultured bacterium. RNAcentral's name for it is "partial 16S ribosomal RNA". It matches the Rfam family "Bacterial small subunit ribosomal RNA", at positions 30 to 526 of the family's 1533-position model. The record is from RNAcentral.
AUCGAACGCUGGCGGCAGGCCUAACACAUGCAAGUCGAGCGAGUGGCGGACGGGUGAGUAAUGUGUGGGGACUGCCCGAUCGAGGGGGAUAAAUACUGGAAACGGAGGCUAAUAACGCAUACUAUCGGAUAACCCAUAUGGGAUUAGCGAGUAGGUGGGGUAUAGGCUCACCUAGGCGACGAUCUCUACCUGGUCUGAGAGGAUGAACAGCCAAACUGGGACUGGGACACGGCCCAGACUCCUACGGAGGCAGCAGUGGGGAAUAUUGCACAAGGGGCGAAAGCCUGAUGAAGCAAUGCCGCGUGUAUGAAGAGUGCCUUAGGGUUGUAAAGUAUGUUCAGCGGGAAGGCGUUACCCGAAGAAGAAGCCCCGGCUAACUACGUGCCAGCAGCCGCGGUAAUAC